AGCCUUCCUGUUAACUCUUAAUAAACUUACACAUGCAAGCAUCUACACCCCAGUGAGAAUGCCCUCUAGGUUAUUAAAACUAAGAGGAGCUGGCAUCAAGCACACACCCUGUAGCUCACGACGCCUUGCUUAACCACACCCCCACGGGAAACAGCAGUGACAAAAAUUAAGCCAUAAACGAAAAGUUUGACUAAGUUAUAUUAAUUAGGGUUGGUAAAUCUCGUGCCAGCCACCGCGGUCAUACGAUUAACCCAAGCUAACAGGAGUACGGCGUAAAACGUGUUAAAGCACCAUACCAAAUAGGGUUAAAUUCUAACUAAGCUGUAAAAAGCCAUGAUU
Molecule: ribosomal RNA, 339 nt
Filed under: Bos taurus (domestic cattle)
Lineage: Eukaryota; Metazoa; Chordata; Mammalia; Artiodactyla; Bovidae
Description: similar to 12S ribosomal RNA
Source: RNAcentral